GUGCUCACUUCAGCAGCACAUAUACUAAAAUUAGAAUGAUACAGAGAUUAGCAUGGCCCCUGUGCAAGGAUGACACGAAAAUUUGUGAAGUGUUCCAUAUUUUA
Small nuclear RNA from Cervus elaphus (red deer), 104 nucleotides. NCBI's taxonomy places the organism in Eukaryota, Metazoa, Chordata, Mammalia, Artiodactyla, Cervidae. The record is from RefSeq and is a predicted model, not a curated record.